RNAcentral lists this ribosomal RNA (409 nucleotides) under uncultured bacterium. RNAcentral's name for it is "bacterial SSU rRNA". It matches the Rfam family "Bacterial small subunit ribosomal RNA", at positions 28 to 432 of the family's 1533-position model. The record is from RNAcentral.
GAUGAACGCUAGCGACAGGCUUAACACAUGCAAGUCGAGGGGCAGCACAGGUAGCAAUACCGGGUGGCGACCGGCGCACGGGUGAGUAACGCGUAUGCAACUUACCUAUCAGAGGGGGAUAACCCGGCGAAAGUCGGACUAAUACCGCAUAAAGCAGGGAUCCCGCAUGGGGAUAUUUGCUAAAGAUUCAUCGCUGAUAGAUAGGCAUGCGUUCCAUUAGGCAGUUGGCGGGGUAACGGCCCAUCAAACCGACGAUGGAUAGGGGUUCUGAGAGGAAGGUCCCCCACAUUGGUACUGAGACACGGACCAAACUCCUACGGGAGGCAGCAGUGAGGAAUAUUGGUCAAUGGGCGUAAGCCUGAACCAGCCAAGUCGCGUGAGGGAUGAAGGUUCUAUGGAUCGUAAACCU